UGCGCCUGAGGUUGAGAGGCUCCCUCCGCCAGCUGCCGGAUCUAACUUGUGGGCCUUCCCGGCGCGCCGACUUCCGCGCCUGAGCGGCCGUGACGUAGCCGGUCUCCUCCUCUCGUCCUCCCGCGGCGCCGGUCUCUUGUGACGUCAGCAGCAGACUCCUCUCAGUCGAUAUAGUGCUAAGUGAGGGGCGGGCCGGAUGGGCUGGUUGCCUGCUCCUCCCCAACCUGAACUUGUUUUGUAAAGGAAACCUCUUGUAAUUUCCUAAGACUUUAGAUUAAAUCUUUAAACUGUUCCCGUUUCCUAAUAAGGGAGAAAACGGCCCUCACCCUAGUUCCAGCUCCUUCCAAGCUGAGAGUUCUGUUAGAAAUCACCUAGAAGAACCUUGAAGGUAGAGAAUCGUUCUUCCUCCUCAACAGUUGGCAUAGCCAGCAGGAUAAACUUUAGCUGGCUGGACACUGCUGCGGCUGAGAGAUUAUGGGACAUCUGACAAAAGCUGGCACGAGGGAAGAAUCCCCAUCACCACAUCAGCCAACUGGAUCUCUGCCUGCCAGGUCUCGUGCAAGUGAGAGUGAUGAUACAAUUGGAAACAUGGGCUAUAUCAUCAAGGCUUUGACGGGGAUGUCAUAUUUGAGGGAAACAUGCAUAGACUCAGAUAUGACCAAAUAGCUUUAAGGAACUGAAGUUGACUUAAUGGAGCUAAUAAAGCCCAUUGCAAAUAUCAGCCUGACACCUUGCUUACAGAGUAACCGGCAGCCUUACAAGAAUCAUUGAGAAUUAAAACAGACUUCUCUCCCUGAAGCCCUGCAAACUAAAUAUGAAUGACUUGAUAUAAACUUCAGGAAAAUCAGCACAGUAGAUAACAUAAAGUCAGCGCUGGAGGAAUAUGGACUACCUUACGAGGGCUAAAUUGGGUGGCUUGCUAAGGAACUUCAAUAAGAGAUGCCUGGGACCCCAGCAAACAAUACAGGAAAACCUUUCCUCAGCAAUUUGGUAAUUUAUACCUUUGUAAGCUCUGCCUGCCUGAUCACCCCAGAAUUUGGAAACUCUCAAAGAGAUUUGGCUAGCCAACUGACCUAGGAAGAGAUGCUCGACAUCAGAUAUCAUUAAGAAGACCCACAAGGAAACCCCAUGAGGUACUACCUCACACCAAGCACACUGGAUUUGAUCCACCAAUGAUAUCCACCAAAGGGAACCCUUGUUAUCUCCUGGUAGGUAAGUAAAUUGGUGCAACUGCUAUGAAAAACACUAUGUUGACUGCACAAACUAAAGAAGGAUCCAGUGAUUCCACUCCUGAGUAUUUAGUCAUAGGAAUGGAAAAUACUACUUCAAGAAGAUAUAUGUACUCCUAAGUUUAUUGCCACUUUAUAUUCUUUUGCAAUAUCCAAGACAUGGAAGUAUUUAAGGGUCCAUCAAUAGAGGAAUAGAUA
Herpailurus yagouaroundi (jaguarundi) is the source of this 1427-nucleotide long non-coding RNA. RefSeq lists it as uncharacterized. NCBI's taxonomy places the organism in Eukaryota, Metazoa, Chordata, Mammalia, Carnivora, Felidae. The transcript is spliced from 7 exons. The record is from RefSeq and is a predicted model, not a curated record.